CUGUAGCUCAAUUGGAUAGAGUAUCUGACUCCGGAUCAGAAGGUUGGGGGUUCGAGUCCCCCCUGGU
RNAcentral lists this transfer RNA (67 nucleotides) under marine eukaryotic metagenome. It matches the Rfam family "tRNA", at positions 5 to 66 of the family's 71-position model. From Rfam's summary of the family: Transfer RNA (tRNA) molecules are approximately 80 nucleotides in length. Their secondary structure includes four short double-helical elements and three loops (D, anti-codon, and T loops). The record is from RNAcentral.